This 253-nucleotide ribosomal RNA is filed under the name uncultured bacterium. RNAcentral's name for it is "partial 16S ribosomal RNA". It matches the Rfam family "Bacterial small subunit ribosomal RNA", at positions 524 to 776 of the family's 1533-position model. The record is from RNAcentral.
GACGUAGGAUGCAAGUGUUAUCCGGAAUCACUGGGCGUAAAGCGUCUGUAGGUGGUUUAAAAAGUCCACUGUUAAAGAUUGAAGCUUAACUUCAAAAAUGCCGUGGAAACUUUUAAACUUGAGUAUGAUAGGGGUAGAGGGAAUUUCCAGUGGAGCGGUGAAAUGCGUAGAUAUUGGAAAGACCACCAAUGGCGAAGGCACUCUACUGGGCAAUUAAUGACAAUGAGAGAGGAAAGCUAGGGGAGAAAAUGGG